RNAcentral lists this ribosomal RNA (509 nucleotides) under uncultured bacterium. Its description in RNAcentral is "bacterial SSU rRNA". It matches the Rfam family "Bacterial small subunit ribosomal RNA", at positions 15 to 518 of the family's 1533-position model. The record is from RNAcentral.
GAUCCUGGCUCAGGAUGAACGCUAGCGGCAGGCUUAACACAUGCAAGGUCGAGGGGCAGCGCGGGUAGCAAUACCUGGCGGCGACCGGCGAAAGGGUGCGGAACACGUGAGCAACUUGCCCGUGACAGGGGGAUAAGCGCUGGAAACGGCGUCUAAUACCCCGUAACACAAGGGAUGGCAUCGUCCUUUGUUGAAAGUCUUCGGAUGGUCACGGAUGGGCUCGCGCGACAUUAGGUAGACGGCGGGUAACGGCCCACCGUGCCGACGAUGUCUAGGGGUUCUGAGAGGAAGGUCCCCCACACUGGAACUGAGACACGGUCCAGACUCCUACGGGAGCAGCAGUGAGGAAUAUUGGUCAAUGGCCGGAAGGCUGAACCAGCCAUGCCGCGUGCAGGAAUAAGGUCCUAUUGGAUUGUAAACUGCUUUUAUGUGGGAGCAAUAAGGUCUACGUGUAGACCGAUGAGAGUACCAUAUGAAUAAGCAUCGGCUAACUCCGUGCCAGCAGCAGC